AACCUGCGGAGGGAUCAUUACAGAGUUCGUGCCCUUCGGGGUAGACCUCCCACCCUGUGUCGUUAUACCUUUUGUUGCUUUGGCGGGCCGCGCGCGGCUCCGGCCCCGCCCCUGGCUUCGGCGAGGGCGUGCCCGCCAGAGGACCCCCCAAACCUGAAUGUUAGUGUCGUCUGAGUACUAUAGAAUAGUUAAAACUUUCAACAACGGAUCUCUUGGUUCUGGCAUCGAUGAAGAACGCAGCGAAAUGCGAUAAGUAAUGUGAAUUGCAGAAUUCAGUGAAUCAUCGAAUCUUUGAACGCACAUUGCGCCCCUCGGUAUUCCGGGGGGCAUGCCUGUUCGAGCGUCAUUACAACCCUCAAGCUCUGCUUGGUCUUGGGCGUCACCGGCCCCCGGUGUGCCCUAAAGCCAGUGGCGGCGCCGUCUGGCUCUAAGCGUAGUACACACUCUCGCUAUGGACGCCCGGCGGCUGCUCGCCAGCAACCCCCAUCUAUAUCAAGGUUGACCUCGGAUCAGGUAGGGAUACCCGCUGAACUUAAGCAUAUCAAUA
Molecule: ribosomal RNA, 547 nt
Filed under: Pezicula sp. ZLVG 468
Lineage: Eukaryota; Fungi; Ascomycota; Leotiomycetes; Helotiales; Dermateaceae
Description: eukaryotic LSU rRNA
Rfam family: 5.8S ribosomal RNA (bases 193-346)
Source: RNAcentral